This 253-nucleotide ribosomal RNA is filed under the name uncultured bacterium. Its description in RNAcentral is "partial 16S ribosomal RNA". It matches the Rfam family "Bacterial small subunit ribosomal RNA", at positions 524 to 776 of the family's 1533-position model. The record is from RNAcentral.
UACAGGGGGCGCGAGCGUUGCUCGGAAUUACUGGGCGUAAAGGGCUCGUAGGCGGCCAACUAAGUCCGACGUGAAAUCCCAAAGCUUAACUUUGGAACUGCGUCGGAUACUGGAUGGCUUGAAUUCGGGAGAGGGAUGCAGAAUUCCAGGUGUAGCGGUGAAAUGCGUAGAUAUCUGGAGGAAUACCGGUGGCGAAGGCGGCAUCCUGGACCGACAUUGACGCUGAGGAGCGAAAGCUAGGGGAGCAAACGGG